AGGGCGCAAGGGGAAUGCCUUGGCACUGAGAGCCGACGAAGGACGCGACAAGCUGCGAUAAGCUACGGGGAGCCGCAAAUGGGCUUUGAUCCGUGGAUUUCCGAAUGGGGAAACCCGAUGGAGCAAUACUCCAUCAACCAUGACUGAAUACAUAGGUCAUGGUGGGGAACCGCCUGAACUGAAACAUCUAAGUAGGGCGAGGAAGAGAAAUCAACCGAGAUUCCGCUAGUAGUGGCGAGCGAACGCGGAAGAGGCCAAACCGGAGGUAGCAAUAUUUCCGGGGUUAGGACUGCAAUAUGUAACUUUAAUCUUUAACUGAAUGCUUUGGGAAGAGCAGCAAUAUAGGGUGAUAGCCCCGUAAGUGAAAAGGAUUGAGUGCUAGCAGUAUCCAGAGUACCAGCGGACACGUGAAACCCGCUGGGAAGAUGGGGGGACCAUCCUCCAAGCCUAAAUACUACUCAGUGACCGAUAGUGGAGCAGUACCGUGAGGGAAAGGUGAAAAGUACCCCGGGAGGGGAGUGAAAAAGAACCUGAAACCUUGUGCCUACAAGCACCGAGAGCACGUUAAAGUGUGAUCGGGUACUUUUUGUAGAACGGUCCGGCGAGUUAAUAUUUGCAGCGAGGUUAAGUAACUGGAGUUACGGAGCCGCAGCGAGAGCGAGUCUGAAUAGGGCGUAUGAAGUUGCAGGUAUUAGACCCGAAACCGGGUGACCUAUCCAUGAGCAGGCUGAAGCGGUGGUAAGACACCGUGGAGGGCCGCACCCACGUCUGUUGAAAAAGCCGGGGAUGACUUGUGGAUAGCGGAGAAAUUCCAAUCGAACUCGGAGAUAGCUGGUUCUCCCCGAAAUAGCUUUAGGGCUAGCGUUAUUUUAGAUUACCGGAGGUAAAGCACUGAAUGGUCUAGGGGCCGCGAGGUUACCAAAGCCUAUCAAACUCUGAAUGCCGGAUAAUUGAUGAAUAGCAGUCAGACUGUGUGAGAUAAGUCUCAUAGUCAAAAGGGAAACAGCCCAGAUCUACAGCUAAGGUCCCAAAUGAACACUAAGUGGAAAAUGAUGUGAAACUGCGAAGACAACCAGGAUGUUGGCUUAGAAGCAGCCACUCAUUCAAAGAGUGCGUAAUAGCUCACUGGUCGAGUGGUUUUGCGCAGAAAAUGUAACGGGGCUAAGUGUUCAACCGAAGCUUAGGCAUUGCAGUAAUGCAUUGGGUAGGGGAGCGUCGUAUGCGGGGCGAAGUCAGAGCGGAAGCACUGGUGGACUGCAUACGAGUGAGAAUGCCGGAAUAAGUAGCGAGAAUUAUGUGAGAAUCAUAAUGGCCGAAAAUCUAAGGUUUCCUGGGGAAGGUUCGUCCGCCCAGGGUUAGUCGGGAGCUAAGCUCAGGCCGAAAGGCGUAGGCGAUGCACAUACGGUAGAAAUUCCGUAACCACCGAACAUUUAAGCUAGAGGGACGCUUUCUUUAAGGUUAUCCCGGGCGAUGGUUGCCCCGGGCGUAAGGGACCGAAAUAUAGUAGGGAAGUAACUGGCGAGAGAGACGAGAAAAGCUCUAGUGUAUACUAAGGUGCCCGUACCGCAAACCGACACAGGUAGAAGGGAUGAGUAUUCUAAGGCCAACGGGAGAAGGGUUGUUAAGGAACUCGGCAAAUUGGCCCCGUAACUUCGGGAUAAGGGGCGCCUGCGAGAGCAGGCCGCAGUGAAAAGGCCCAAGCGACUGUUUAGCAAAAACACAGCUCUCUGCUAAAUCGAAAGAUGACGUAUAGGGGGUGACGCCUGCCCGGUGCUGGAAGGUUAAGGGGAGUGCUUAGCGCAAGCGAAGGUGCGAACUUAAGCCCCAGUAAACGGCGGCCGUAACUAUAACGGUCCUAAGGUAGCGAAAUUCCUUGUCAGGUAAGUUCUGACCCGCACGAAUGGCGUAACGAUUUGGGCACUGUCUCAACAGCCCGCCCGGCGAAAUUGUAGUACCGGUGAAGAUGCCGGUUUCCCGCAACUAGACGGAAAGACCCCAUGGAGCUUCACUGUAGCUUGAUAUUGGAUCUCGGUAUUCCAUGUACAGGAUAGGUGGGAGGCUAGGAAGUAAGCGCGCCAGCGUUUAUGG
This 2088-nucleotide ribosomal RNA is filed under the name human gut metagenome. RNAcentral describes it as "bacterial LSU rRNA". It matches the Rfam family "Bacterial large subunit ribosomal RNA", at positions 14 to 2183 of the family's 2925-position model. The record is from RNAcentral.